Molecule: ribosomal RNA, 253 nt
Filed under: uncultured bacterium
Lineage: Bacteria
Description: partial 16S ribosomal RNA
Rfam family: Bacterial small subunit ribosomal RNA
Source: RNAcentral
GACGAACCGUGCGAACGUUAUUCGGAAUCACUGGGCUUAAAGCGUGUGUAGGCGGACCGUUAAGUACCUUGUGAAAUCCCCCGGCUCAACCGGGGAACGGCUGGGUAUACUGGCGGUCUUGAGCCAUCCAGGGGCAGUCGGAACAGACGGUGGAGCGGUGAAAUGCGUAGAUAUCGGCUGGAACGCCGAAGGUGAAAACAGACUGCUGGGGAUGAGCUGACGCUGAGACACGAAAGCCAGGGGAGCGAACGGG